UUUGUUUUGUUUCAAGUGCUAGUUCGUGUAUAUUUAUAAAUAAAUAUGACUGAAAUGAAUAUGAAAGCCAGGGCUCUCGGAAAAGAUGAGAUUGUGUGGUUCCUUGAUUUGAUAUUGAAACACAAAGUCAUUGCAACAAAAGCGACAAUUGCCUCAAAUAAUAAAGAUGAUGCCUGGAAAUCCAUAGCGCAGGAGUUCAGUCGCGUCCUGAGAAACUUUGAGUGAAGAACGCUGCAAGACAGCGUAAUGCUGACAAUGACGUAAGACAAAACAAUCUAAAGGCUGAAGGGGGAAAGUUCCACAUAUCACCUGAUAAAGUCCUUUACCAUGUAGCAGUUAUAUUGGGGGCACAUGUAGUACUACUGUCUUUACGGUUCAGUUUGGUGGUGAUGGUGAUGCAGAGAAUGAUACUUUCACCUGUAUACUUUUUUUGUUUUAUUCUUGCAGCCUGUGUUAAUGGUUUUAUAUAUGUACAUUGUAUUAAGAUUGAUAAAAUUAAUUCAU
Non-coding RNA from Plutella xylostella (diamondback moth), 504 nucleotides. Lineage: Eukaryota; Metazoa; Arthropoda; Insecta; Lepidoptera; Plutellidae. The record is from RefSeq and is a predicted model, not a curated record.